This 362-nucleotide long non-coding RNA is filed under the name Nicotiana benthamiana. RNAcentral's name for it is "long non-coding RNA (NBEN_LNC003479)". Lineage: Eukaryota; Viridiplantae; Streptophyta; Magnoliopsida; Solanales; Solanaceae. The record is from RNAcentral.
CAUCGUUCUUGUUUUUUUUUUGUAUUUCGUCACUUGAUUUGAGAUAUAUUGGAACAAUCUGCAGAAAGUGGUAUUUGAUCUUCUCUACAAGGUGGCUGACAUCCCCUUGUUGGGUGAACACAAGUCCAAAGUACUGGUGAGUGAAUGACCAGGUGUUCUGAUGUUGCAUGUUGUUUCAUUUUUGUUUGUGUGGCUAAUACAUAGAUUUGUCUUGUAGGAUCUUCUUGUAAAGUACUGGUGAGUGGAUGAUUGGUGUUCUGUAUUUGCAUGUUGUUUCAUGUUUGCAUGUGUGACUAAUGCAGUAGACUUGUCGUGUAGGAUCUUCUUGAGAAAGCUGAGACACAGCCUAAUCUCACAAUUGG